GAUGAACGCUGGCGGCGUGCCUAAUACAUGCAAGUCGAGCGAACAGACGAGGAGCUUGCUCCUCUGACGUUAGCGGCGGACGGGUGAGUAACACGUGGAUAACCUACCUAUAAGACUGGGAUAACUUCGGGAAACCGGAGCUAAUACCGGAUAAUAUAUUGAACCGCAUGGUUCAAUAGUGAAAGACGGUUUUGCUGUCACUUAUAGAUGGAUCCGCGCCGCAUUAGCUAGUUGGUAAGGUAACGGCUUACCAAGGCGACGAUGCGUAGCCGACCUGAGAGGGUGAUCGGCCACACUGGAACUGAGACACGGUCCAGACUCCUACGGGAGGCAGCAGUAGGGAAUCUUCCGCAAUGGGCGAAAGCCUGACGGAGCAACGCCGCGUGAGUGAUGAAGGUCUUCGGAUCGUUAAACUCUGUUAUUAGGGAAGAACAAAUGUGUAAGUAACUAUGCACGUCUUGACGGUACCUAAUCAGAAAGCCACGGCUAACUACGUG
Molecule: ribosomal RNA, 497 nt
Filed under: uncultured bacterium
Lineage: Bacteria
Description: partial 16S ribosomal RNA
Rfam family: Bacterial small subunit ribosomal RNA
Source: RNAcentral